Oncorhynchus tshawytscha (Chinook salmon) is the source of this 538-nucleotide long non-coding RNA. The record is from Ensembl. NCBI's taxonomy places the organism in Eukaryota, Metazoa, Chordata, Actinopteri, Salmoniformes, Salmonidae.
CCGGUACCCCCUGUAUAUAGCCUCCACAUUGACUCUGUACCGGUACCCCCUUUAUAUAGCCUCCACAUUGACUCUGUACCGGUACCCCCUGUAUAUAGCCUCCACAUUGACUCUGUACCAGUACCCCCUGUAUAUAGCCUCCACAUUGACUCUGUACCGUAAUACCCUGUAUAUAGCCUCCACAUUGACUCUGUACCGGGUGUUAUGGUACAGAGUCAAUGUGGAGGCUAUAUACAGGGUAUUACGGUACAGAGUCAAUGUGGAGGCUAUAUACAGGGGGUACCGGUACAGAGUCAAUGUGGAGGCUAUUUACAGGGUGUUACGGUACAGAGUCAAUGUGGAGGCUAUAUACAGGGGGUACCGGUACAGAGUCAAUGUGGAGGCUAUAUACAGGGUAUUACGGUACAGAGUCAAUGUGGAGGCUAUAUACAGGGAGUACCAGUACAGAGUCAAUGUGGAGACUAUAUACAGGGAGUACCGGUACAGAGUCAAUGUGGAGGCUAUAUACAGGGAGUACCAGUACAGAGUCAAUGUGGAG